GUGUGGAUUGAAUAAGUCAACUAAAUGGUCCAUCCCUUUUGUUUUACUUUCAAUGUUGUCAUGCUGUUUCUUUUUGUCGAGCCGGCGACUUAAGUCGCAAAAGCGAGACAUAGCAAACCAUUCUGUCGUCAGAAGGGUCCACAAAUAUUCACUAUGUGGUUAAAGUUCUUUAAAUUCUGAGAACUUUCUUAAAUUAUCCUGGAUUUGUAUCAAACUUUAACAGAAUCUUGUUUAUGAUCAUAAGAUAAUUUUCAAGAAGUAUUUUACUUAUAAAUGGACUUAGUUUGUAUGUCAG
RNAcentral lists this long non-coding RNA (295 nucleotides) under Mytilus galloprovincialis (Mediterranean mussel). The record is from RNAcentral. Lineage: Eukaryota; Metazoa; Mollusca; Bivalvia; Mytilida; Mytilidae.